AUGUUCGUGACGAACUCGUCCCAGCCGAUCCACGAGCCCCGCACCGCGGGGUCGAAGCUUGCCGAGAACACCCCGUACGGCACGCCCAGGAGGAGGCCGAAGAGCAGGAACGCCACCCAGACGGGCGGCUGCAGGUCGUCGAGCCCUGUGGCCGCGGCCGCCGCGCGCAGGGCCGCCUCGCCAGCCGCGGUGGCCGCGAGCGCGGCCGCGGGCACCCGCCGCGCCGUGCGCCACAGCACCUCCUCGGACUCGAGGAACGAGAGGUCGCCGCCGCGCUCCCGCCGCCCGACCCACUCGUCCCACUCCUCGUCGCUGACCGACGCGUCGGCCACCAGCAGCGACCCGAGGACGAACGAGACGAGCGGCAUCCACGCGGGCACGCGGUCGACGCCCGCGGCCUCGCCGAGGUAGCCCAGCAGCGCGGGCACCCCCGCGAAGGAGAACGCCGCGACGGCCGGGAGCUUCCAGAGCACGCCGAGGUCGGGGCUCCGGCCCGGGAGGUCGGCGUCGAGGAGGGACCGGAGGAGCUCGUCGUCCUCGCCGCCGAACACCUCCGACUCGUCGGCGAGCCCCGCGUCGACGAGGUUCUGGAGGAAGGUGCGGAGGUCGUUGUUGCUGUUCCGGUAG
RNAcentral lists this ribosomal RNA (627 nucleotides) under Triticum aestivum (bread wheat). Its description in RNAcentral is "partial small subunit ribosomal RNA". Lineage: Eukaryota; Viridiplantae; Streptophyta; Magnoliopsida; Poales; Poaceae. The record is from RNAcentral.